Molecule: ribosomal RNA, 821 nt
Filed under: uncultured bacterium
Lineage: Bacteria
Description: bacterial SSU rRNA
Rfam family: Bacterial small subunit ribosomal RNA
Source: RNAcentral
UACGCACUGGCCCACUGAUUGAUGGUGCUUGCACCUGAUUGACGAUGGAUCACCAGUGAGUGGCGGACGGGUGAGUAACACGUAGGUAACCUGCCCCGGAGCGGGGGAUAACAUUUGGAAACAGAUGCUAAUACCGCAUAACAACAAAAGCUGCAUGGCUUUUGUUUGAAAGAUGGCUUUGGCUAUCACUCUGGGAUGGACCUGCGGUGCAUUAGCUAGUUGGUAAGGUAACGGCUUACCAAGGCGAUGAUGCAUAGCCGAGUUGAGAGACUGAUCGGCCACAAUGGAACUGAGACACGGUCCAUACUCCUACGGGAGGCAGCAGUAGGGAAUCUUCCACAAUGGGCGCAAGCCUGAUGGAGCAACACCGCGUGAGUGAAGAAGGGUUUCGGCUCGUAAAGCUCUGUUGUUGGAGAAGAACGUGCGUGAGAGUAACUGUUCACGCAGUGACGGUAUCCAACCAGAAAGUCACGGCUAACUACGUGCCAGCAGCCGCGGUAAUACGUAGGUGGCAAGCGUUAUCCGGAUUUAUUGGGCGUAAAGCGAGCGCAGGCGGUUGCUUAGGUCUGAUGUGAAAGCCUUCGGCUUAACCGAAGAAGUGCAUCGGAAACCGGGCGACUUGAGUGCAGAAGAGGACAGUGGAACUCCAUGUGUAGCGGUGGAAUGCGUAGAUAUAUGGAAGAACACCAGUGGCGAAGACGGCUGUCUGGUCUGCAACUGACGCUGAGGCUCGAAAGCAUGGGUAGCGAACAGGAUUAGAUACCCUGGUAGUCCAUGCCGUAAACGAUGAGUGCUAGGUGUUGGAGGGUUUCCGCCCUUCA